UUUAUGGAGAGUUUGAUCCUGGCUCAGGAUGAACGCUGGCGGCGUGCCUAAUACAUGCAAGUCGAGCGAACAGACGAGGAGCUUGCUCCUCUAACGUUAGCGGCGGACGGGUGAGUAAC
RNAcentral lists this ribosomal RNA (119 nucleotides) under Staphylococcus epidermidis. Its description in RNAcentral is "partial 16S ribosomal RNA". It matches the Rfam family "Bacterial small subunit ribosomal RNA", at positions 1 to 114 of the family's 1533-position model. Lineage: Bacteria; Bacillati; Bacillota; Bacilli; Caryophanales; Staphylococcaceae. The record is from RNAcentral.